GCCCAGGUGGUGGAAUUGGUAGACACGCUAGUUUCAGGUACUAGUGGCUUAACGGCUGUGGAAGUUCGAGUCUUCUCCUGGGCACCA
This 87-nucleotide transfer RNA is filed under the name Thiopseudomonas denitrificans. RNAcentral describes it as "tRNA-Leu". It matches the Rfam family "tRNA". Rfam says of the family: Transfer RNA (tRNA) molecules are approximately 80 nucleotides in length. Their secondary structure includes four short double-helical elements and three loops (D, anti-codon, and T loops). RNAcentral also lists the same sequence under 2 other names. The record is from RNAcentral. Lineage: Bacteria; Pseudomonadati; Pseudomonadota; Gammaproteobacteria; Pseudomonadales; Pseudomonadaceae.